Molecule: ribosomal RNA, 253 nt
Filed under: uncultured bacterium
Lineage: Bacteria
Description: partial 16S ribosomal RNA
Rfam family: Bacterial small subunit ribosomal RNA
Source: RNAcentral
UACGUAGAGGGCAAGCGUUGUCCGGAUUCAUUGGGCGUAAAGAGCGCGUAGGCGGCCAGGUAGGUCGGUUGUGAAAACUGGAGGCUCAACCUUCAGAGGUCGACCGAAACCAUCUGGCUAGAGUCCGGGAGAGGAGAGUGGAAUUCCUGGUGUAGCGGUGAAAUGCGCAGAUAUCAGGAAGAACACCCGUGGCGAAAGCGGCUCUCUGGAACGGUACUGACGCUGAGACGCGAAAGCGUGGGGAGCGAACAGG